Molecule: ribosomal RNA, 1395 nt
Filed under: uncultured marine bacterium
Lineage: Bacteria
Description: bacterial SSU rRNA
Rfam family: Bacterial small subunit ribosomal RNA
Source: RNAcentral
AACGUACGCUGGCGGCACGCCUAACACAUGCAAGUCGAACGAAGUAGCAAUACUUAGUGGCAGACGGGUGAGUAACAUGUAGGUAUCUGCCCUUUGGCCUGGAAUAACACGAGGAAACUUGUGCUAAUACCGGAUAAGUCUUUACGGAGAAAGCUUUAUGCACCAUUGGAUGAGCCUGCACUUGAUUAGUUUGUUGGUGGGGUAAUGGCCUACCAAGACUGUGAUCAAUAGCUGAUUUGAGAGGAUGAUCAGCCACAUUGGGACUGAGACACGGCCCAAACUCCUACGGGAGGCAGCAGUGGGGAAUCUUGCACAAUGGAGGAAACUCUGAUGCAGCGAUGCCGCGUGAGUGAAGAAGGCCCUUGGGUUGUAAAGCUCUUUCGUCGGGGAAGAAAAUGACUGUACCCGAAUAAGAAGGUCCGGCUAACUUCGUGCCAGCAGCCGCGGUAAUACGAAGGGACCUAGCGUAGUUCGGAAUUACUGGGCUUAAAGAGUUCGUAGGUGGUUAAAAAAGUUGGUGGUGAAAUCCCAGAGCUUAACUCUGGAACUGCCAUCAAAACUUUUUAGCUAGAGUGUGAUAGAGGAAAGCAGAAUUUCUAGUGUAGAGGUGAAAUUCGUAGAUAUUAGAAAGAAUACCAAUUGCGAAGCAGCUUUCUGGAUCAUUACUGACACUGAGAACGAAAGCAUGGGUAGCGAAGAGGAUUAGAUACCCUCGUAGUCCAUGCCGUAAACGAUGUGUGUUAGACGUUGGAAAUUUAUUUUCAGUGUCGCAGCGAAAGCGAUAAACACACCGCCUGGGGAGUACGACCGCAAGGUUAAAACUCAAAUGAAUUGACGGGGACCCGCACAAGUAGUGGAGCAUGUGGUUUAAUUCGAAGAUACGCGCAGAACCUUACCAACACUUGACAUGUUCGUCGCGACUUUAAGAGAUUAAAGUUUUCGGUUCGGCCGGACGAAACACAGGUGCUGCAUGGCUGUCGUCAGCUCGUGUCGUGAGAUGUUGGGUUAAGUCCCGCAACGAGCGCAACCCUCACUUUUAGUUGCCAUCAUUUAGUUGGGCACUCUGAAAGAACUGCCAGUGAUAAGCUGGAGGAAGGUGGGGAUGACGUCAAGUCCUCAUGGCCCUUACGUGUUGGGCUACACACGUGCUACAAUGGUAUCUACAACAGGAAGCAAGACUGCGAAGUUAAGCAAAUCCUUAAAAGAUACCUCAGUUCGGAUUGCACUCUGCAACUCGAGUGCAUGAAGCUGGAAUUACUAGUAAUCGUGGAUCAGCGUGCCACGGUGAAUGCGUUCCCGGGUCUUGUACACACCGCCCGUCACACCAUGGGAGUUGGUUCUACCUUAAGGCAAGGUUUCAAACCCUUGACCACGGUAUAGUCAGCGACUGGGGUG